Syzygium oleosum is the source of this 564-nucleotide long non-coding RNA. RefSeq lists it as uncharacterized. NCBI's taxonomy places the organism in Eukaryota, Viridiplantae, Streptophyta, Magnoliopsida, Myrtales, Myrtaceae. The record is from RefSeq and is a predicted model, not a curated record. The transcript is spliced from 2 exons.
CUCCUCCACCGUGAGUUCUUCCUUGACCAUUUUCUCCACCGCCGGCGCCGCCGCUCGCCGCCACCACACCGGACCACCCUCAAGCCACCGUCCACGCCGCCGUACGCCACCAUCACCCCCUCCCGCCGUCCCUCUCUCUCUCUCUUGGCCGUGAGGCCCUCGGCCACGCGCAAGCCACGCCAUCGCCGUCCAAGCCGAUCGCCGCCACCCGGAAGUUGUACGUCAUCGCCGUUGUCCCCGAUUAAGGGUCGCUGCUUUCCGUUCUAGCCGAGGAAGUCUAGAACGCGGAACCCCGACAGGACCCAUGAAUCUUCCGCCACCGCCACCAGAACGUUUUGGAGUCCUCAGUGGAUGGGACGGUAUAAAGGGACUCAGACUCAGAGGACAAGGAAUCAGACUCAAAAUGGGUUUUUGGCGAGCACCCUUUUUGGAGUAGUAGUAAACCCAAGUUUUCAUCCUUGGAGUAUCGGUUUUUGAGAAAGGCGAUAUGCAUGUACAUGUAUGGGACAGUUUAUAAAUGUAAAUAUUAUGGUAUAAGAAGGAAAUGAAAAAGAUAUGUAUAUU